Myotis brandtii (Brandt's bat) is the source of this 68-nucleotide non-coding RNA. Lineage: Eukaryota; Metazoa; Chordata; Mammalia; Chiroptera; Vespertilionidae. The record is from Rfam.
GGCUGGGUAGCUCAGUUAGUUAGAGCAUUGUUCUGAUACACCAAGGUUUCGGUUUUGAUCCCCAGUCA